AGGAAUGUUGGGGGGGGGGUACAAAAGAAGUGUCACUGACAUCCCAUCUAGAGAGGGAGGGGGGGAGUCAUGUGAUUGUUAAUUACUCAAGCGGUUGAAAUCCACACUGGAUCUACUCCACUUACCCCGUGUCCAAAUUCUUUACCGUCUCAAAUUAAUCCCGAGGUGUCACGCAGAGAUGAAGGGGAUUGGCUGUGUUUGGAAAUCCUUUAUUCGUUUCGUAGUCACUCGCUAGGGAUUUAUUUAUUUUUUGGGGGCAGUGGGGGACAAGGGGAGGAUUGGACCGCCACCGCUCAGUCUGUCUCUCAGUCACUCGUCAGUUUGUCUGUCUGUCUUUUGGUCUCAUGGUUCAUGAAACGACCAUCAGUCAGAUGCUUAGUCUGCCGGUCUAUCUGUCUGUCCACGGGUUGGUCGGUUGGACUGUCUGUCAAUCCGUCCCAUGAUCAGUUCUUCAGUCAGUUGGACAGUCGGUCUGUUGGAUGCUCAAUUGGCCUGUUGUCAUUACGUUAGUCUGUCUGUCCUUAGGUUGAUCGGUUGGUUGGUCUGUCACCUCCUCAGAUGGUCACAUUUUGUCGGCUUGUCUGUCUGUUCUUUGGUUGGCCUGUAAGUCUGUCUGUCUGUCCAUCCAGUGAUUGGUCGGGUGGACUGUCUGUCAAUCCGUCCCAUGAUCAGUUCUUCAGUCAGUUGGACAGUCGGUCUGUUGGAUGCUCAGUUGGCCUGUUGUCAUUAGGUUAGUCUGUCUGUCCUUAGGUUGAUCGGUUGGUUGGUCUGUCACCUCCUCAGAUGGUCACAUUAAGUCGGACUGUCUGUCUGUUUUUUGGUUGGUAUGUCAAUCGUCGGCUGGCCUGUCUUUCCGUCCAGUGAUUGGUCGGGUGGACUAUCAAUCCCUCCGAUCGUCAGUCCAUCGGUUCGUGUUUUUGUCUUUAUUCCGCUUAGUCAGUCCGUCAGUCCGUCUUUCGGGUAACCUGUGAAAUUGAUCUGUCUGUCUCUCCCUCAGUAAAAACAAGCCAGAAAGUGUUUGCUGUUUUAAGCCGCAGCUGUGCGUGGCCGCCAUACAGCUGGACGGCGUCCCGCAGAUUUUCCCACGGGCGUCGUCUCCGUCCCGCCCUCUCGUCUCUCAAGGGCGAUGGUCAGAUUUAAGAGCUUUUGUGAGGCCCAUUCAAAAGACGUGUUUGCAAGAGCAAACAAUUGCUCAUCCUGUGUCUUAAUGGCUUCUCGGGCUGCCCGUUACCUCCGCAGCGCGCCGAUGUCGUCUCCCGAAAAGUGUGUAUGAGGUCAACCGGCCCGAAGGCCUAUUGUUUGUUUGCUAAUAGCGUGGCGGGGUCAAGGCCGCAGAGCUGUCUGUCUGUAGCGGGACAUUCUGCUUUGUUUGUCCGGACGUGAGGACAGCAGAGGGGGGGGAAAUCUGAAGUUUCACGUUCCAAACAAGGACGGCGGGAGCUCACGCCAUCCCUGGAGAGGAAACUGUGCUCUGAUAUUAUUUAUUUAUUUCAUUAUUUUGCUUGAGAAGAAUUUGACAUAAGAAUAUUAAGGCGUGGAAAACAAACUAAUGUGGCCCCUUAAAUUUCUAGGAAACCUUUUGGGUGACAGAAGUAGUGUACUAAAAACAGACAUCCUGUGGUAGCCUCACAAUGAGCCAGAAGUUCUAAUCAAUGGUUGGGAUUUUUCCGUGCCCUCUAAGUAAUUAAAUAAUCAUUAUAAGCCUGGUGUAUCACAAUUAAACAGAUUUCCUGGUCUAGGAAGUAGGAUCCACUCAAUUUCAGUAGCGCUUUCUUUUUGGUGAUAGCUCAUGCGAAGUCUCGAAAUUGUCAGACAAACAAAUUUAGCUUUGGUGAUAGAAGUGGGGUGCUAAAACAGAUUUGCACACCUCAUUGUGAGGCAGUCAUAAUUAAUUCUGUAUCAAUUAAUAUUUAUGAUGAUGAAACAGAAGUCACAUUAAUGAAAUCAGAUUUGCAUCAAAUCUAUUUGAAUUUCUUGGCUUUAGAAGUAGGAUCCAUU
Molecule: long non-coding RNA, 1998 nt
Organism: Hippocampus zosterae (dwarf seahorse)
Lineage: Eukaryota; Metazoa; Chordata; Actinopteri; Syngnathiformes; Syngnathidae
Exons: 3
Source: RefSeq, a predicted model, not a curated record